Molecule: long non-coding RNA, 484 nt
Filed under: Capsella rubella
Lineage: Eukaryota; Viridiplantae; Streptophyta; Magnoliopsida; Brassicales; Brassicaceae
Description: long non-coding RNA (CRUB_LNC003655)
Source: RNAcentral
UUUUUUCACCGUAAUUGUAUUGAUAUGUGGUAAUGGGAAAGUUUAGUUUGUAAUUGUCCCAUUUGUCAUGGUUUAGUGAUUAGCUAGUUCUAGCUGUAGUUUUGAUUCCUUGCUACUUCUUAUGGUUUGAAAAACAUUCGAAAGUGUGAAAGAAAUAAAAACAAAAAUAUUAAACCGGAAGUUAAUGUGUGGGUCUCUCUAGCAUAGUCGACUAUUGGGCCACAAAAGGCCCAUCAAUUCAAAAUGUUAAGGAACAAAAAAUCAAGAUCGGCCCGGCACACGCAUACGUGUUGGACGUACGAAGAUUCACAAAAACUGAAUGAGACCAUUUUGAUAUAUCUUUGAUGACAAAAAAAAAAAAAAAAAAACCAUAUUGAUAUAUCUUUAGAAUAUCUUCUCACAAACUCUUUUUGUGUUUAUACCUUUUGCAACUUUUGGUUUACUUUUCGAGGAACGAUCUGUUUAUUUCACUUCCAGAAUUCAC